RNAcentral lists this ribosomal RNA (254 nucleotides) under uncultured bacterium. RNAcentral describes it as "partial 16S ribosomal RNA". It matches the Rfam family "Bacterial small subunit ribosomal RNA", at positions 524 to 776 of the family's 1533-position model. The record is from RNAcentral.
UACGGGGGGGGGCAAGCGUUGUUCGGAAUUACUGGGCGUAAAGGGCGCGUAGGCGGCCUUCUAAGUCAGACGUGAAAUCCCUCGGCUCAACCGAGGAACUGCGUCUGAUACUGGAAGGCUUGAAUCCGGGAGAGGGAUGUGGAAUUCCAGGUGUAGCGGUGAAAUGCGUAGAUAUCUGGAGGAACACCGGUGGCGAAGGCGGCAUCCUGGGCCGGCCCUGACACUGAGACGCGAAGGCGUGGGGAGCGAACGGG